GACGAACGCUGGCGGCGUGCUUAACACAUGCAAGUCGAACGGAAAGGCCCUGCUUUUGUGGGGUGCUCGAGUGGCGAACGGGUGAGUAACACGUGAGUAACCUGCCCCUGACUUUGGGAUAACUACAGGAAACUGGGGCUAAUACCGGAUAGGAGCUCCUGCUGCAUGGUGGGGGUUGGAAAGUUUUGGCGGUUGGGGAUGGACUCGCGGCUUAUCAGCUUGUUGGUGGGGUAGUGGCUUACCAAGGCGUUGACGGGUAGCCGGCCUGAGAGGGUGACCGGCCACAUUGGGACUGAGAUACGGCCCAGACUCCUACGGGAGGCAGCAGUGGGGAAUAUUGCGCAAUGGGCGGAAGCCUGACGCAGCGACGCCGCGUGCGGGAUGACGGCCUUCGGGUUGUAAACCGCUUUCGCCUGUGACGAAGCGUGAGUGACGGUAAUGGGUAAAGAAGCACCGGCUAACUACGUG
RNAcentral lists this ribosomal RNA (468 nucleotides) under uncultured bacterium. RNAcentral describes it as "partial 16S ribosomal RNA". It matches the Rfam family "Bacterial small subunit ribosomal RNA", at positions 28 to 507 of the family's 1533-position model. The record is from RNAcentral.